UGUCAACCCCAAGCAACAAACUUUCUUGUCAUGCUCCCUGUGCCAGACAUUACUUAGACGACCCAUAAACCAACAAUAGUAUAAAAUAAAAAUUGCUUCAACAAUAAUAACCAACCUAUCAUUUCAUCUCAUAACUAAAGCCCAAGAACAAAGAAAUGAAGCACAUGACAGAUUACCUUCUAAAAUUAGCCCGUGCACCACUUUUUUUCACUUGUUGCAACAUCUGG
Molecule: unclassified non-coding RNA, 227 nt
Filed under: Hevea brasiliensis (rubber tree)
Lineage: Eukaryota; Viridiplantae; Streptophyta; Magnoliopsida; Malpighiales; Euphorbiaceae
Source: RNAcentral